GAUGAUGAAUGCUAUGAAAGAUGGAUGAAACUAGACUCAAAGUGGUGAAAACAGGAUGUGUAAAACAUGCAAAUUAUAGACAUAUCAACUCCCCCAAACUUAGUCUUUGCUUGCCCUCAAGCAAACAAGUAGACAUAAGCUGAAGGAGAGGUUUGAAGGUGGGGAU
This 166-nucleotide small RNA is filed under the name Arabidopsis thaliana (thale cress). RNAcentral's name for it is "ATSL163080". Lineage: Eukaryota; Viridiplantae; Streptophyta; Magnoliopsida; Brassicales; Brassicaceae. The record is from RNAcentral.